RNAcentral lists this ribosomal RNA (330 nucleotides) under uncultured eukaryote. RNAcentral describes it as "partial 18S ribosomal RNA". It matches the Rfam family "Eukaryotic small subunit ribosomal RNA", at positions 1470 to 1796 of the family's 1831-position model. The record is from RNAcentral.
CCCUUAGAUGUUCUGGGCCGCACGCGUGCUACACUGAUGCAUUCAACGAGUCUAAAACCUGGUCUGAUAGGGCUGGGUAAUCUUUUGAAAGUGCAUCGUGAUUGGGAUAGAUGAUUGCAAUUCUUCAUCUUCAACGAGGAAUGCCUAGUAAACGCAAGUCAUCAGCUUGCAUUGAUUACGUCCCUGCCCUUUGUACACACCGCCCGUCGCUCCUACCGACUGAAUGAUCCGAUGAAUACCAUGGAUUGAGAGUACGAAUAGGUUCGCUUAUUUCUGCUGCUCGAGAAGUGGAGUAAAUCUUAUCAUUUAGAGGAAGGAGAAGUCGUAACA